GAUGAACGCUGGCGGCGUGCCUAAUACAUGCAAGUCGAACGAACAGACGAGGCGUUUGCGCCUCUGUCGUUAGCGGCGGGCGGGUGAGAAACGCGUGGAUAACCUACCUAUAAGACUGGGAUAACUUCGGGAAACCGGAGCUAAUAACAUAUAAUAUAUUGAACCGCAUGGGGCAGUAGUGAAAUACGGUUUUUCGGUCACUUCUCGACGUAUCCGCGCGGCAUUAGCUAGUUGGUAAGGUAACGGGUUACCAAGGGAACGAUCCGUGGACGACCGGGGCGGCGGAUAGGCGGCCUGAGAAGUGAGACAGGCACAAGAGGCCUACGGGAGGGAGCAGUAGGGAACCGGCCGCAGUGGGCGAAAGCCUGACGGAGUAAGGGCGCGUGAGAGAUGGAGGUGCUCGGUGCGGAAAACUCUGCUAUGAGGGAAAAACCAAUGUGUAAGUAGAUAUGCAGGUAUUGACGGUACCUAAUCAGAAAGCCCCGGCUAACUACGUG
Molecule: ribosomal RNA, 497 nt
Filed under: uncultured bacterium
Lineage: Bacteria
Description: partial 16S ribosomal RNA
Rfam family: Bacterial small subunit ribosomal RNA
Source: RNAcentral